GUGUGUAUGUGUGUGAGUGUGUAUGUGUGUGAGUGUGUAUACAUACGAAUAUAUACAUACAUAUUCACACACAUAUAUAUGCUUUGAUAUAUAGGUAUAUUACACAUGUAUUACGUACGUUUGUAU
Molecule: non-coding RNA, 126 nt
Organism: Octopus bimaculoides (California two-spot octopus)
Lineage: Eukaryota; Metazoa; Mollusca; Cephalopoda; Octopoda; Octopodidae
Source: Rfam